CUUUGAUCUAUUUAGCAUUUGAGGUUUUGAAUUUGAAAAGCGCUUUUUAGAAAAAUUAUCAUUUUAAAAAGUAGUUUGAAAAAACUGUUUUGUUAUUUUGGUAUUCUUAUGCUAAAAUAUGUCAUUUAUUUUUAUAUUAAAUUUUAAUACUCUAUAACCAAUAUAUUUAAGAAAGUAUUUUUCUCAAUAGCAGUUCUAAUAGUAAUGCCAAAUAGAUUUGACCUUUUCAUUUUAUAGUGUAACACUGCCACAUAUUAAAUUGGUCAGAGAUAUGAUAGGAUUCCGAUAUGAGAGACUUUUAUGUAACUUUUUUUUUUUUAAGUUGAGGAACUUUUAAGUAACAUUUUUUAAGUUGGGGGAUUUUAUGGUAACAAAAUAAAGAUGAGGAAUGAAAAUGUAAUGAACUCUAAAUUUAAGGGAUGAUUGAUAAAAAUUAGCCUAAAAGAAGGGAAGAAAAUUGGAAUGAAUUGCUUGAUUAUUCCCUCAAGUUGUUGGGAUUUUGUAUAGGAAAACAUGGAACUAUUAUAAUCAAUAUCAACAAUUACUCUUGUGAUUUGUGCAUGAUUGUAUCACUUAAUAUUCUACAUAAUUCUAGCCUAAAAUACAUAAUACAAUCCCUUAAUCCUAAGCUAGAGUAUGCACAUCAAAUGCGCCCCAACUUGUUGCAAAUGUAAUUAAUCCGAGAUCCUUUAAGGGAUUUAGUGAGGAUGUCUGCCAAGUGGCCAUUUGAAUUCAAAAAACUAGUAGUUAUACUUCCUAACUUGAUCUUCUGUAUGAUAAAAUGAUGACGUACUCUGUUUUUCCUCUAUCUUCUUUCUCUUCUCCUACUCUGUUUAAAAUGAAUAUUAACAAAAUUUUAACUUUUUUAUUGAGGAUGUAUGGUCUGAUUAUGUGU
This 895-nucleotide unclassified non-coding RNA is filed under the name Hevea brasiliensis (rubber tree). Lineage: Eukaryota; Viridiplantae; Streptophyta; Magnoliopsida; Malpighiales; Euphorbiaceae. The record is from RNAcentral.